UGCGGGGUAGAGCAGCGGCAGCUCGUCAGGCUCAUAACCUGGAGGUCGUGGGUUCGAAUCCCACCCCCGCUACCA
Molecule: transfer RNA, 75 nt
Filed under: bacterium (Candidatus Howlettbacteria) CG_4_10_14_0_8_um_filter_40_9
Lineage: Bacteria
Description: tRNA-Met
Rfam family: tRNA
About the family: Transfer RNA (tRNA) molecules are approximately 80 nucleotides in length.
Source: RNAcentral